AUUUUUGUCUGAAAACUCUGAAUUUUGGGGAUUUUAGGGCUAAACUGAGCUAAAAACCACAAUAUCUUCAAAUUGAAAUUGAUGCCUCUCCCAUUGACUUCAACAGGUCUGAGAUGGAGUAUUUUUGGAUUCAGGCAUUUUGCAGCUUCGGGAUAUAACGAAUAUCAGAGGGUCGCGAAUAUCAGAGGGUCGCGCCCAUGGUAUAUGGAUCAUGAUGGUAAAGUUCCACAUCUCCCAUGCUCAGUCCUAUCAGGGAUUUAAUCAAUGUGGAUCGCUGGCACCAGUGGAAAAAAAUAAUGAUUCCCUCAUCAUCAUCAUCAUUUCUGGAACAGUGCUGAAUGGAUUCCCCUUCCUGUACUGUCACCUCUCACCCCAUCCUCUUCCUCUCUUUUUUUCCUGCCCCAGCUACCAGGCCCUUUCACUCACCCAAAUAAGCCCGGGGCACUCAGCCAGGAGCCUCCAACACUUUCAUUCCUACCUUAUUUUCCUGCGAUGACUCAUUGACGCUCACGGAGUAAACACAGCGAGGGGUGCUGGGAAUCUGUGCUUUGAUCUCCCCAUUUAUCUGACAAUGAUUAACAAAUGGGGCGUGGCUGGCACACAGGAUCUGGGGAGGAGAACUUCAUAAAUGGUAUUUUUAGAUUUGGGGAUUUAUAUAUGUUUAUGUAAUUUUAUGUAAUUCCUGUAGAGGUCGCUGUUGCAUGGCCUAUUUAAGGAAGUGACAUUGGAUGAUUAAGGGAGUUACUCCAGAAACGCGUCAGGUGAUGUUGAUCUGUGACCUGUUGCAAUAAGCCACGUUUUCAUCCAGAGGCUGCCGAUUCUAUUUUUUCAAGUUCAAGAAAAA
Long non-coding RNA from Xenopus laevis (African clawed frog), 844 nucleotides. RefSeq lists it as uncharacterized. The transcript is spliced from 2 exons. The record is from RefSeq and is a predicted model, not a curated record. NCBI's taxonomy places the organism in Eukaryota, Metazoa, Chordata, Amphibia, Anura, Pipidae.